AUAUUGCGCAAUGGGCGAAAGCCUGACGCAGCAACGCCGCGUGAGUGAUGAAGGUCUUCGGAUCGUAAAGCUCUGUCGGCAGGGAAGAAAACUUGGAUGGCUAACAUCCAUUCAGGCUGACGGUACCUGCAAAGGAAGCACCGGCUAACUCUGUGCCAGCAGCCGCGGUAAUACAGAGGGUGCGAGCGUUGUUCGGAAUUAUUGGGCGUAAAGAGCGCGUAGGCGGUUUGCUAAGUCUGAUGUGAAAGCCCUCGGCUUAACCGAGGAAGUGCAUUGGAUACUGGCAGGCUUGAGUGUGAGAGAGGAUAGUGGAAUACCUGGUGUAGCGGUGAAAUGCGUAGAUAUCAGGUGGAACACCGGUGGCGAAGGCGGCUAUCUGGAUCAUAACUGACGCUGAGGCGCGAAAGCAUGGGGAGCAAACAGG
This 424-nucleotide ribosomal RNA is filed under the name uncultured bacterium. RNAcentral's name for it is "bacterial SSU rRNA". It matches the Rfam family "Bacterial small subunit ribosomal RNA", at positions 361 to 776 of the family's 1533-position model. The record is from RNAcentral.